AAAGAUCUAAAGGAAAGGAGUGGGCAUUGAGGAAAGGAGGUCGUCCGGGCCUCUGCCCCGCAGAGCCUCUCCAGCCCCCCAACCCCGACCCUGGAAAGGAAGAACUCCUCCCAACCCUCAAGCCCCAAGUUGGUGUUUCCCCCAUCCAACCGCCCGGACCGGUUCUUCCAGUCCCUCCCCAGCCUCAGGCCCAAGGCUAGGAGCACAGCAGAACCUCAACUGUGAGAGAGGCUCCCGUGGGAAGAGAAACCGACUCUAAUUGACAGCCCCUCCCAAUUCCACACCCUGGCCCCUCCCAGGAUGUUUGCGAAGCGCUUUAGGUAGUUUAUCUUCUUUGAACCCUACAACAACGCUGAGAUAGAAACUACCAUUAUUAUCAAAUGAGGAAACGGAGACAAAGGAAGGUGACUGAGAAGGUACAGGUUAGUAGACUGGGGACACCCCAGUUCCAGGGCCUAGAUACCCAUCCUUACGGGCUACCCGCUCCCCAAGGCCUGCCUGGAAUCUAAGAUGGAAGAAGUUUACAGAUGCUCUAACCAGGACCAUUCCGGUGCUUCCUGAACAUCUACGUACUAAUGAGGCCCUCUUCCUGACACUCCUGCCUGCUUUUAGAUAAUCAAAUCACCCCCACGGUCGAGUCUAGGACUAUUGAUUUACUCCCAGCGCCUGUUAGGGAGAAAAAUAGGAUUUCAAGCAUGGAUGAAAGCUCGGCAGCAAAGCUCUCCUGGCGCCCUCACUCUCCUUUAGCCCUCAUACCUCAUCCACUCCUGCCUCCUUGGUUUUCCUUAUACCAACAGCAUCUGCUUUUUCCAAACCAAAACUUGGUUUGGGCGCAAAGUCUGACAAAAGACAUUUUGCAGAACCCUCUCUGAUCUCAUCAGUUCCCAUGGGUUCAGUGAUUACAUCUAGGCAGAUGAUUCCCAGAUCUCUGUUUCCAGCCUUAGUCUCCUGAUCUCCAGUACCAUAUUAGACAUUUCCAAUUAGAUGUCCAGUAAAUAUCUUGAACUCAACGCUUUUUUUAAACUCAGAAUUCAAUAUUUUGACCUCGACAUGCCCAAAACAUUAUCUUUCCUCCCCAAAAAAACUUAACUCCUCUUCCUAACUUUCCUGUAUCUAUCAAAGUCAACAUCAGCUUAGUUACCCAGGUUCUCAGCUUCUGAGUCAUCAUUAACUAUUCACUGUCUGAUUCAGUGCCUCUGUAUCAAUCAGUCACCAAGUCUUAGGGUUUCUACCUCCACCCUUCUCAAAUCUGUACCCUUCCCUCCACUCAAACUGCAGCCACCCUAGGGCAGAUUCUCAUCCCCUCUCACCUGAGCUAAUUCAACAGCCUCUUAGUUGAUUUCCUUCUCUGAAAUUUUUUGUCUCUCCAAUUCAUCCUCCACUCAACUGCCAGAGUGAUAUUCCCAAAAGACCAGUCAUUUCUUUGCUUAAAAAUCUCCAGUGGCUCUCUAUUCCCCGUAGGAUAAAAUACAAGCUUCUCUUAAUGUCCUUGACAACAUGCCUGCUUUUCCACAUUAUUACACAUCAUUCCACUUCCUAAAUUCUAUGAUCCAGCCAAAUUGGCUUUCCUGCUCUUCCUCACACAUGACAUUCUAUGUGUCCUCUCUCACCCCUGUUCUUUGCCUUAGCUGUCCUCUAUGCUCAGAAUGCCCUCUCUCCUCACCUCUGCCUCCUAGAAUCUUUAACUCCCUUCAAAAUUCACCUCCUAUAAGGCCUUUCCUGAUCCCCCUUAGCUGCUAAUGCUCCCUCGCAAAUGCAUUUUUAUUUACUUUGUACAUAUCUCAUUGUCUCUCUAGGGAGAAUGUUAGCUUCUUGAAGACAGAAUCUGUCUCAUUUCUGUCCUUAUAUCCCAACAUCUAGCAUGCUGCCUCGCACAUAAUAAGUAGCACCUCAUAAAUGCUUGAUGACUGAUUAAUUAAAAGUAAAUACACUUUCUUUUCUUGAAGUUGAACCUGUCCCAGAAAAGCUAAGAUGUUCGUAGUCAUGGUAGCCCUGCAAACUCUUCCGCUAGUCUGGUAUCCCCUGACCCUUAUGCAUUUUUUUAACCUAGCUGAAUACCACCCCAGCCCACAGUGAUCCUGCUUCUCCAGUCCUGAACUCCCACAAGAUUUGUUUUCCAAGACACUGCUCCCACAUUUCACCAAAUACCACCUCUUGCUAUUAGUAGCUAGUAACAUGCACUAUCUUGUCUCCCCAGCUAAGUUAGAAACUCCUUGAAAGCAGAAACUGUGUAUUUGUAUUCCUCUUGUUAGCAUAGUACCCCAAGAAAGUAGAAGUAUUUGUUAAAUGGAUAAUUAUGUCCUGGUCCCCCAUUUCCCUCUCCCCUCAGGUCCUGACCUCCAGUGUUCUAGGUCCUGGACCUUCCUUCUGGGACCUGAUAAAAGCUUAUGGGCAUCGAUAUUUAAGUGGUUUUUAAAGUGGGAGUGGAGAAAGAAGGAAAAGGGCAGGCAGGGGCUUUCCUGCCUCCAUUUGGAUCCCAUUUUUCCUAGAUCAUAGGAUGUGGAUGGAGUUCUUGGAGAUCACUUAGUCCAAUUCACCCAUCUUAGAGAUAAGGUAACUGAGGCCCAGAGAAGGGUAACUAAAUCACCCAGGGUCACAGAGAUGGCAAAGUUCAGAACAAAGAUUCAAAGUCAGUUUCUCUGACCUGCUCUCUCCAUUCUACCACAUGACCUCCAUCAAGACUCAGCUCAUAUGCUCCUUCUUCUGUCGAGUCUUUUCUGCUCCUUCUAGUCAGAGACAACUGUCCUUCCUUUGACAUGUGUUCUUAUCGUGUUACAGUAUGUAAAAAAUUCAUUUGGACAUGUGUCAUCCCUCCUACCAGAUUAGAAUCUACAGGUCAGGAACCCUGGCUUACUCAUCUUUGUAUUAUACACACACACCCCUGCCCCAAACAGUGUCCUGUACACAGUAGAAUAAAUAAAUAGAAUAGAAUAAAAAUAAA
Trichosurus vulpecula (common brushtail) is the source of this 2941-nucleotide long non-coding RNA. RefSeq lists it as uncharacterized. Lineage: Eukaryota; Metazoa; Chordata; Mammalia; Diprotodontia; Phalangeridae. The transcript is spliced from 4 exons. The record is from RefSeq and is a predicted model, not a curated record.